GAUGAACGCUGGCGGCGUGCCUAAUACAUGCAAGUCGAGCGAACGGACGAGAAGCUUGCUUCUCUGAUGUUAGCGGCGGACGGGUGAGUAACACGUGGAUAACCUACCUAUAAGACUGGGAUAACUUCGGGAAACCGGAGCUAAUACCGGAUAAUAUUUUGAACCGCAUGGUUCAAAAGUGAAAGACGGUCUUGCUGUCACUUAUAGAUGGAUCCGCGCUGCAUUAGCUAGUUGGUAAGGUAACGGCUUACCAAGGCAACGAUGCAUAGCCGACCUGAGAGGGUGAGCGGCCACACUGGAACUGAGACACGGUCCAGACUCAUACGGGAGGCAGCAGUAGGGAAUCGUCCGCAAUGGGCGAAAGCCUGACGGAGCAACGCCGCGUGAGUGAUGAAGGUCUUCGGAUCGUAAAACUCUGUUAUUAGGGAAGAACAUAUGUGUAAGUAACUGUGCACAUCGUGACGGUACCUAAUCAGAAAGCCACGGCUAACUACG
RNAcentral lists this ribosomal RNA (495 nucleotides) under uncultured bacterium. RNAcentral describes it as "partial 16S ribosomal RNA". It matches the Rfam family "Bacterial small subunit ribosomal RNA", at positions 28 to 505 of the family's 1533-position model. The record is from RNAcentral.